GCAACGCGAAGAACCUUACCUGGUCUUGACAUCCACAGAACUUUCCAGAGAUGGAUUGGUGCCUUCGGGAACUGUGAGACAGGUGCUGCAUGGCUGUCGUCAGCUCGUGUUGUGAAAUGUUGGGUUAAGUCCCGCAACGAGCGCAACCCUUAUCCUUUGUUGCCAGCGGUUAGGCCGGGAACUCAAAGGAGACUGCCAGUGAUAAACUGGAGGAAGGUGGGGAUGACGUCAAGUCAUCAUGGCCCUUACGACCAGGGCUACACACGUGCUACAAUGGCAUAUACAAAGAGAAGCGACCUCGCGAGAGCAAGCGGACCUCAUAAAGUAUGUCGUAGUCCGGAUUGGAGUCUGCAACUCGACUCCAUGAAGUCGGAAUCGCUAGUAAUCGUAGAUCAGAAUGCUACGGUGAAUACGUUCCCGGGCCUUGUACACACCGCCCGUCACACCAUGGGAGUGGGGUUUGAAAAAAAAUUAGGUACCUUAACCUUCGGGAAGGGCGCUUACCACUUUGUGAUUCAUGACUGGGGUGAAGUCGUACAGGGAAAACCCCCCCCCCCCGGGUGGUUGGGGUUUUAUAUAUGUUUUUUUUUGGUGCCCCCCUCCUAGAUGACGCUGGCGGCAGGCCUAACACAUGCAAGUCGAGCGGUAGCACAGAGAGCUUGCUCUCGGGUGACGAGCGGCGGACGGGUGAGUAAUGUCUGGGAAACUGCCUGAUGGAGGGGGAUAACUACUGGAAACGGUAGCUAAUACCGCAUAAUGUCGCAAGACCAAAGUGGGGGACCUUCGGGCCUCAUGCCAUCAGAUGUGCCCAGAUGGGAUUAGCUAGUAGGUGGGGUAACGGCUCACCUAGGCGACGAUCCCUAGCUGGUCUGAGAGGAUGACCAGCCACACUGGAACUGAGACACGGUCCAGACUCCUACGGGAGGCAGCAGUGGGGAAUAUUGCACAAUGGGCGCAAGCCUGAUGCAGCCAUGCCGCGUGUGUGAAGAAGGCCUUCGGGUUGUAAAGCACUUUCAGCGGGGAGGAAGGCGUUAAGGUUAAUAACCUUGGCGAUUGACGUUACCCGCAGAAGAAGCACCGGCUAACUCCGUGCCAGCAGCCGCGGUAAUACGGAGGGUGCAAGCGUUAAUCGGAAUUACUGGGCGUAAAGCGCACGCAGGCGGUCUGUCAAGUCGGAUGUGAAAUCCCCGGGCUCAACCUGGGAACUGCAUUCGAAACUGGCAGGCUAGAGUCUUGUAGAGGGGGGUAGAAUUCCAGGUGUAGCGGUGAAAUGCGUAGAGAUCUGGAGGAAUACC
This 1295-nucleotide ribosomal RNA is filed under the name Klebsiella pneumoniae. Its description in RNAcentral is "bacterial SSU rRNA". The stretch from base 582 to 1295 matches the Rfam family "Bacterial small subunit ribosomal RNA", at positions 1 to 710 of the family's 1533-position model. The record is from RNAcentral. Lineage: Bacteria; Pseudomonadati; Pseudomonadota; Gammaproteobacteria; Enterobacterales; Enterobacteriaceae.